RNAcentral lists this transfer RNA (70 nucleotides) under Rhodoferax sp. RNAcentral describes it as "tRNA-Ser". It matches the Rfam family "tRNA", at positions 9 to 64 of the family's 71-position model. Rfam says of the family: Transfer RNA (tRNA) molecules are approximately 80 nucleotides in length. Their secondary structure includes four short double-helical elements and three loops (D, anti-codon, and T loops). Further hydrogen bonds mediate the characteristic L-shaped molecular structure. tRNAs have two regions of fundamental functional importance: the anti-codon, which is responsible for specific mRNA codon recognition, and the 3' end, to which the tRNAs corresponding amino acid is attached (by aminoacyl-tRNA synthetases). tRNAs cope with the degeneracy of the genetic code in two manners: having more than one tRNA (with a specific anti-codon) for a particular amino acid; and 'wobble' base-pairing, i.e. permitting non-standard base-pairing at the 3rd anti-codon position. The record is from RNAcentral. Lineage: Bacteria; Pseudomonadati; Pseudomonadota; Betaproteobacteria; Burkholderiales; Comamonadaceae.
GGCAGAGUGGCCGAAUGUACCUGACUCGAAAUCAGGCGUACCGCAAGGUACCGUGGGUUCGAAUCCCACC